Molecule: ribosomal RNA, 302 nt
Filed under: uncultured bacterium
Lineage: Bacteria
Description: partial 16S ribosomal RNA
Rfam family: Bacterial small subunit ribosomal RNA
Source: RNAcentral
GCAGCCGCCGCGGGAAUACGGAGGGUGCAAGCGUUAAUCGGAAUUACUGGGCGUAAAGCGCACGCAGGCGGUUUGUUAAGUCAGAUGUGAAAUCCCCGGGCUCAACCUGGGAACUGCAUUUGAAACUGGCAAGCUAGAGUCUCGUAGAGGGGGGUAGAAUUCCAGGUGUAGCGGUGAAAUGCGUAGAGAUCUGGAGGAAUACCGGUGGCGAAGGCGGCCCCCUGGACGAAGACUGACGCUCAGGUGCGAAAGCGUGGGGAGCAAACAGGAUUAGAUACCCGGGUAGUCCCUGUCUCUUAUAC